Molecule: ribosomal RNA, 1343 nt
Filed under: uncultured bacterium
Lineage: Bacteria
Description: 16S ribosomal RNA
Rfam family: Bacterial small subunit ribosomal RNA
Source: RNAcentral
GACGAACGCUGGCGGCGUGCUUAACACAUGCAAGUCGAACGGAAAGGCCCUGCUUUUGCGGGGUGCUCGAGUGGCGAACGGGUGAGUAACACGUGAGUAACCUGCCCUUGACUUUGGGAUAACUUCAGGAAACUGGGGCUAAUACCGGAUAGGAGCUCCUGCUGCAUGGUGGGGGUUGGAAAGUUUCGGCGGUUGGGGAUGGACUCGCGGCUUAUCAGCUUGUUGGUGGGGUAGUGGCUUACCAAGGCUUUGACGGGUAGCCGGCCUGAGAGGGUGACCGGCCACAUUGGGACUGAGAUACGGCCCAGACUCCUACGGGAGGCAGCAGUGGGGAAUAUUGCACAAUGGGCGGAAGCCUGAUGCAGCAACGCCGCGUGCGGGAUGACGGCCUUCGGGUUGUAAACCGCUUUCGCCUGUGACGAAGCGUGAGUGACGGUAAUGGGUAAAGAAGCACCGGCUAACUACGUGCCAGCAGCCGCGGUGAUACGUAGGGUGCGAGCGUUGUCCGGAUUUAUUGGGCGUAAAGGGCUCGUAGGUGGUUGAUCGCGUCGGAAGUGUAAUCUUGGGGCUUAACCCUGAGCGUGCUUUCGAUACGGGUUGACUUGAGGAAGGUAGGGGAGAAUGGAAUUCCUGGUGGAGCGGUGGAAUGCGCAGAUAUCAGGAGGAACACCAGUGGCGAAGGCGGUUCUCUGGGCCUUUCCUGACGCUGAGGAGCGAAAGCGUGGGGAGCGAACAGGCUUAGAUACCCUGGUAGUCCACGCUGUAAACGGUGGGUACUAGGUGUGGGGUCCAUUCCACGGGUUCCGUGCCGUAGCUAACGCUUUAAGUACCCCGCCUGGGGAGUACGGCCACAAGGCUAAAACUCAAAGGAAUUGACGGGGCCCCGCACAAGCGGCGGAGCAUGCGGAUUAAUUCGAUGCAACGCGUAGAACCUUACCUGGGUUUGACAUGGAUCGGGAGUGCUCAGAGAUGGGUGUGCCUCUUUUGGGGUCGGUUCACAGGUGGUGCAUGGCUGUCGUCAGCUCGUGUCGUGAGAUGUUGGGUUAAGUCCCGCAACGAGCGCAACCCUUGUUCACUGUUGCCAGCACGUUAUGGUGGGGACUCAGUGGAGACCGCCGGGGCCAACUCGGAGGAAGGUGGGGAUGACGUCAAGUCAUCAUGCCCCUUAUGUCCAGGGCUUCACGCAUGCUACAAUGGCUGGUACAGAGAGUGGCGAGCCUGUGAGGGUGAGCGAAUCUCGGAAAGCCGGUCUCAGUUCGGAUUGGGGUCUGCAACUCGACCUCAUGAAGUCGGAGUCGCUAGUAAUCGCAGAUCAGCAACGCUGCGGUGAAUACGUUCCCGGG